RNAcentral lists this small nuclear RNA (150 nucleotides) under Erpetoichthys calabaricus (reedfish). Its description in RNAcentral is "U2 spliceosomal RNA (ENSECRG00000020188.1)". It matches the Rfam family "U2 spliceosomal RNA", at positions 1 to 151 of the family's 192-position model. From Rfam's summary of the family: U2 is a small nuclear RNA (snRNA) component of the spliceosome (involved in pre-mRNA splicing). Complementary binding between U2 snRNA (in an area lying towards the 5' end but 3' to hairpin I) and the branchpoint sequence (BPS) of the intron results the bulging out of an unpaired adenosine, on the BPS, which initiates a nucleophilic attack at the intronic 5' splice site, thus starting the first of two transesterification reactions that mediate splicing. The record is from RNAcentral. Lineage: Eukaryota; Metazoa; Chordata; Cladistia; Polypteriformes; Polypteridae.
AUUGCUUCUCGGCCUUUUGGCUAAGAUCAAGUGUAGUAUCUGUUCUUAUCAGUUUAAUAUCUGAUACAUCCCCUAUCUGGGGACCAUAUAUUAAAUUGAUUUUUGGAACAGGGAGAUGGAAUAGGGGCUUGCUAAAAAAAAUAAAUAAAU